Molecule: ribosomal RNA, 213 nt
Filed under: uncultured bacterium
Lineage: Bacteria
Description: partial 16S ribosomal RNA
Rfam family: Bacterial small subunit ribosomal RNA
Source: RNAcentral
AAAACCGGUCCCAGUUCGGAUUGUAGGCUGCAACUCGCCUACAUGAAGUCGGAGUUGCUAGUAAUCGCGGAUCAGAAUGCCGCGGUGAAUGCGUUCCCGGGUCUUGUACACACCGCCCGUCACACCAUGGAAGUUGGGGGCGCCCGAAGUUGGUCGAGGAAUAGAUUACCUAAGGCGAAACCAAUGACUGGGGUGAAGUCGUAACAAGGUAAC